GUCGAACGCCUCUUUUUCCACCGGAGCUUGCUCCAUCGGAAAAAGAGGAGUGGCGAACGGGUGAGUAACACGUGGGUAACCUGCCCAUCAGAAGGGGAUAACACUUGGAAACAGGUGCUAAUACCGUAUAACAAUCGAAACCGCAUGGUUUUGAUUUGAAAGGCGCUUUCGGGUGUCGCUGAUGGAUGGACCCGCGGUGCAUUAGCUAGUUGGUGAGGUAACGGCUCACCAAGGCGACGAUGCAUAGCCGACCUGAGAGGGUGAUCGGCCACAUUGGGACUGAGACACGGCCCAAACUCCUACGGGAGGCAGCAGUAGGGAAUCUUCGGCAAUGGACGAAAGUCUGACCGAGCAACGCCGCGUGAGUGAAGAAGGUUUUCGGAUCGUAAAACUCUGUUGUUAGAGAAGAACAACGGAUGAGAGUAACUGUUCAUCCCUUGACCGGUAUCUAACCAGGAAAGCCACGGCUAAAUUACGUGCCAGCAGCCGGCGGUAAUACGUAGGUGGCAAGCGUUGUCCGGGAUUUAUUGGGCGUAAAGCGAGCGCAGGCGGUUUCUUAAGUCUGAUGUGAAAGCCCCCGGCUCAACCGGGGAGGGUCAUUGGAAACUGGGAGACUUGAGUGCAGAAGAGGAGAGUGGAAUUCCAUGUGUAGCGGUGAAAUGCGUAGAUAUAUGGAGGAACACCAGUGGCGAAGGCGGCUCUCUGGUCUGUAACUGACGCUGAGGCUCGAAAGCGUGGGGAGCAAACAGGAUUAGAUACCCUGGUAGUCCACGCCGUAAACGAUGAGUGCUAAGUGUUGGAGGGUUUCCGCCCUUCAGUGCUGCAGCUAACGCAUUAAGCACUCCGCCUGGGGAGUACGACCGCAAGGUUGAAACUCAAAGGAAUUGACGGGGGCCCGCACAAGCGGUGGAGCAUGUGGUUUAAUUCGAAGCAACGCGAAGAACCUUACCAGGUCUUGACAUCCUUUGACCACUCUAGAGAUAGAGCUUCCCCUUCGGGGGCAAAGUGACAGGUGGUGCAUGGUUGUCGUCAGCUCGUGUCGUGAGAUGUUGGGUUAAGUCCCGCAACGAGCGCAACCCUUAUUGUUAGUUGCCAUCAUUUAGUUGGGCACUCUAGCAAGACUGCCGGUGACAAACCGGAGGAAGGUGGGGAUGACGUCAAAUCAUCAUGCCCCUUAUGACCUGGGCUACACACGUGCUACAAUGGGAAGUACAACGAGUCGCAAAGUCGCGAGGCUAAGCUAAUCUCUUAAAGCUUCUCUCAGUUCGGAUUGUAGGCUGCAACUCGCCUACAUGAAGCCGGAAUCGCUAGUAAUCGCGGAUCAGCACGCCGCGGUGAAUACGUUCCCGGGCCUUGUACACACCGCCCGUCACACCACGAGAGUUUGUAACACCCGAAGUCGGUGAGGUAACCU
This 1414-nucleotide ribosomal RNA is filed under the name Enterococcus hirae. RNAcentral's name for it is "bacterial SSU rRNA". It matches the Rfam family "Bacterial small subunit ribosomal RNA". Lineage: Bacteria; Bacillati; Bacillota; Bacilli; Lactobacillales; Enterococcaceae. The record is from RNAcentral.